RNAcentral lists this unclassified non-coding RNA (318 nucleotides) under fungal sp. Its description in RNAcentral is "partial internal transcribed spacer region". The stretch from base 1 to 46 matches the Rfam family "Eukaryotic small subunit ribosomal RNA", at positions 1786 to 1831 of the family's 1831-position model. Lineage: Eukaryota; Fungi. The record is from RNAcentral.
AAGUCGUAACAAGGUUUCCGUAGGUGAACCUGCGGAAGGAUCAUUAAUACGUUAUCCACGUUGAUCAACCAAAAUAUGUGAACUUGUUAGAGAGGUUCGCCUCUCUCACUCCCGAUUCCGUCGGAAUCGGCAUCAUACGACUUAUGCUUCGGCAUAGGUUGCAUCUAUUUGAUACACCCUUGUAACCACCCUUUUUGCUAGUUGUAUUAAUGCAGUACAGUCUGACGAGAUCUAGAUCUCGUUCGACCUAAUAUGCUGUUGUUAUUAAUUAUUUAAUAAUCUACCUUACAACUCUUAGCAAUGGAUAUCUAGGUUCUC